This is a long non-coding RNA of Malus domestica (apple), 995 nucleotides long. RefSeq lists it as uncharacterized. Lineage: Eukaryota; Viridiplantae; Streptophyta; Magnoliopsida; Rosales; Rosaceae. The record is from RefSeq and is a predicted model, not a curated record.
UGGGUAAAACUGCUUAUAUCCACAUCCAUGAUAAGUUAAAAUGACGGAAGCACUUUUGGAAUCAGCCAUUUUACUUGAAGCUGUUGAUUCCGCAUGCUUGGUUUAGAGCCAACUUGGAUGCUUAUUCGGUACAAAAUUUGCAAAGUUGGACAACAUCUGGAUUCAACUUUCAUCCUAGUCAAUACAACGACGUCGUUUGUAGAACGACACAAUUUCCUGUUCUCCGACUACAAUCCCAUUAAACGACGUCAUUUCUGUAGUUCUCUGUCCCUCCCCCUGCGUAAUGAUCAUCGCUACUCUCCAUCUCUCGUUCCCUCAUCCUCCGUCUUUUCACUCCCUAGCGAGCGGCGCGUGCUCCCACCGCCAACCUCUCUCCCUGUCCCACCUCACCUUCUCGUUCCCGACCUUACACAUCUUAAAAAACCCUCCACUUCAUCGGCUCCGACGAUCAAGCACUUCAUCGGCUCCGACGAUCAAGCUCGCCGGUGACCCAACCGCCGCCAAUGGAACUCAACGACGAGUCGGAUUUCGAAACCAUCGCCACACCCGACGGCUACAUCUCCAUCUGUGGCUUCGGUUCCCUCCUCUCCGAGAGAAGCGCGAGGAGUACGUUUCCGGAGCUGAUCAACUUCAGAGAGUCGCGGUUGAACGGCUUCCGGCGGGUGUAUGCUCACAUGGCUCCCAUUUUCUUCGAGCGUGGCAUUGCCAAGCCUGAUACCAAAUUUUGUUAGAAGCUUCCUUUUCUGUUAAGUUGUGUCAUAUGAAUUUCAUGGCUUAUAAUGAGCAACAUUUUUGUUGCACUUCCACCCUUCUAAAAAUGGUACCCAAAAUCCCUAAGGAUUUCAGGGAUAAAGAUCGAGGAAUCUUUUUACAUAAUUUGAUUUUGUUAUUGAACUGGGAGAAUUAGAAAACGGAAGGGUCUCGAGACGAGAAAUAGUAUUAGACAAAGAGCUACUUGGUCAGUCAAUGAGACCCUUUCUGAAGGAUUUGCCUCA